UGAGCAAUCUGCCCUUCUCAUCGGAAUAAGCGUUGGAAACGACGUCUAAUGCCGAAUACGACCUCCUUUCGCAUGAUCGGAGGUGGAAAGCUCCGGCGGAGAAGGAUGAGCUCGCGGCCUAUCAGCUAGUUGGUGUGGGUAAUGGCCCACAAGGCGACGACGGGUAGCCGGCCUGAGAGGAUGGCCAGCCACAGUUGGGACUGAGAACGCCAGACUCCUAGGAG
This 224-nucleotide ribosomal RNA is filed under the name uncultured bacterium. RNAcentral describes it as "partial 16S ribosomal RNA". It matches the Rfam family "Bacterial small subunit ribosomal RNA", at positions 118 to 347 of the family's 1533-position model. The record is from RNAcentral.